Molecule: ribosomal RNA, 253 nt
Filed under: uncultured bacterium
Lineage: Bacteria
Description: partial 16S ribosomal RNA
Rfam family: Bacterial small subunit ribosomal RNA
Source: RNAcentral
UACGUAGGGCGCAAGCGUUAUCCGGAAUUAUUGGGCGUAAAGAGCUCGUAGGCGGUUUGUCGCGUCUGCCGUGAAAGUCCGGGGCUCAACUCCGGAUCUGCGGUGGGUACGGGCAGACUAGAGUGAUGUAGGGGAGACUGGAAUUCCUGGUGUAGCGGUGAAAUGCGCAGAUAUCAGGAGGAACACCGAUGGCGAAGGCAGGUCUCUGGGCAUUAACUGACGCUGAGGAGCGAAAGCAUGAGGAGCGAACAGG